Non-coding RNA from Schistosoma haematobium, 45 nucleotides. NCBI's taxonomy places the organism in Eukaryota, Metazoa, Platyhelminthes, Trematoda, Strigeidida, Schistosomatidae. The record is from Rfam.
AGCCAGAUGACGAGUCUUAAAUAGGACAAAACGCGCGUCUUGGAU